This is a long non-coding RNA of Pantherophis guttatus, 869 nucleotides long. RefSeq lists it as uncharacterized. The record is from RefSeq and is a predicted model, not a curated record. Lineage: Eukaryota; Metazoa; Chordata; Lepidosauria; Squamata; Colubridae.
GGGGGCAGCUCCCCGGUCCUCUGAGGCAUCCUCGGCUCCCAGUGAUAGCGGCGGCGGCGUUGGCGUCCUCCUCCUCGCCGGCGUCAGGUUUGGAAUUCGCUCACUGAAUACAACUGUUCUGCACAAUUUAUUCUGCCUCUUCCCUUCCACUCAAUGCCCAUCACAAAGGAAAGCGUUUUUGAUUGGGAGCUCCCCAGAGUUGGCUAUAAGAUGGGCGGCAGCUCUAUAAAUGAUUUAAAUAAAAAAAAGAUAAUAGAAAGCACUUACAAUAUGGAUGGUGUUUUUAGAAGCCUUCCUCCCCCAGGCUGAUUUGGAAAGACAUCUUCCAAGAAGAAAUAUAUGUGACCCACAGCAAUGCCUGGAGGGGGGAAUAUUGAAACACAACAUUUGUUUUAUUACAAAAGUUUAAAAGCAUCCAACACCCAACACUAAUCACUGCCGUUUUGAGAAAGCAUUUUAAAAGCCUGGUUCAUAAAAGUCUACCUGAGGCUUGAAAAGAUUGUUUCUUAGGAAUUUUAAAGAAGUUAGUUUUCUUUUCCAAUUGUGUGAAUAUUUAAGUGGGCAGCACAACCUCCUCCUGUUGCUUUAACAUUUAAAACAUUUAAUUGUUUUUCACAUCAUCAGUUCAUCUAUUUUUAGAAGAAGCACCUCAAGAUAUAUUUUGCAUGCUGUUUCUAAUUUAAGAUUUUCAUAUGUAGCAUUGCUUUUCUUGGCCUCUUCAUAUGUAAACUGUAAGACAACAAGCAGCACAGUAGUGCUUUUAUGAAUUCUGCAUUUUACAUUCGGCAAAGUAUAUACAAUUCUCAUUAUUAAGCUAGGGAAUAAAUCUGUAUCCCCUCAUAAUGAUUAAAAAAGGCUGCUAUGAAGAA